RNAcentral lists this ribosomal RNA (253 nucleotides) under uncultured Acidobacteriota bacterium. RNAcentral's name for it is "uncultured Acidobacteria bacterium partial 16S ribosomal RNA". It matches the Rfam family "Bacterial small subunit ribosomal RNA", at positions 524 to 776 of the family's 1533-position model. The record is from RNAcentral. Lineage: Bacteria; Pseudomonadati; Acidobacteriota.
UACGGGGGGGGCAAGCGUUGUUCGGAAUUACUGGGCGUAAAGGGCUCGUAGGCGGCCGAUCAAGUCAGACGUGAAAUCCCUCGGCUCAACCGGGGAACUGCGUCUGAUACUGUUUGGCUUGAAUCUGGGAGAGGGAUGCGGAAUUCCAGGUGUAGCGGUGAAAUGCGUAGAUAUCUGGAGGAACACCGGUGGCGAAGGCGGCAUCCUGGACCGGUAUUGACGCUGAGGAGCGAAAGCCAGGGGAGCAAACGGG